Molecule: long non-coding RNA, 1527 nt
Organism: Pan troglodytes (chimpanzee)
Lineage: Eukaryota; Metazoa; Chordata; Mammalia; Primates; Hominidae
Exons: 5
Source: RefSeq, a predicted model, not a curated record
UUUGUGUCUAGCUCACGGAUUGUAAAGCACCAAUCAGCACCCUGUUAAAACAGACCAAUCAGCUCUCUGUAAAAUGGACCAAUCAGCAGGAUGUGGGUGGGACCAGAUAAGAGAAUAAAAGCAGGCUGCCUGAGCUCGCAGUGGUAAUGCGUCUCUGUCUCUUUCCGUGCUGUAGAGGCUUUGAUCUUUUACUGUGCAAUAAAUCUUGCUGCUGCUAACAGUUUGGGUCCACACUGCGUCUAUAAGCUGUAACACUCACCGUGAAGGUCUACAGCUUCAUUCCUGAAGCCAGUGAGACCACGAACCCAGCAGGAGGAACGAACAACUCCAGACGCGCGGCCUUAAGAGCUGUAACACUCACCGCGAAGGUCUGCAACUUCACUCCUGAGCCAGCGAGACCACGACCCCACUAGAAGGAAGAAACUCCGAACACAUCCGAACCUCGGAAGGAAGAAACUCCGAACACAUCCAAACAACAGAAGGAACAAACUCCGGACACGCCGCCUUUAAGAACUGUAACACUCACCACCAGGGUUCGCGGCUUCAUUCUUGAAGUCAGUGAGACCAAGAAGCCACCAAUUCCGGACACAAUAUGAAGGGGGAAUCUGGAAUAUUUCAAGAUAAGGUCCAAUUCUUCCAUUGUCUCGUAAUCCAAUGCAGAGAUGUGAAAUGUAAGAUCAUCUGAAGGAGAGCUUUGGUUCAAGUCAAAUGCAUGCCUCAACCUAGCAGAGCCAAAGAGAUACUUGUAUGAUGACAUGACUUUUGCCUUCUGCCAUGAUUGUGAGACCUCCCCAGCCACAUGAAACUCAUCAUAUCGGAUUUGAGAAAACUCACGAAGACCAAAAGAACCUCCAACAAUCAGCAACUAAAACAAAGAAAGGAAACAUUUAAGCAAAACAGAAGACCAGAAUUCAAAUUCAGCCUAUCUAUAGAUUGCUUUUCUAAACAACAAUAGAGGCACAUUAUACAAAAAUUCUAUAGAUUAUUUUUCCUGGUGAGUCACCAUUCAUCUUUUAGAGUAAAUGCAGUAUAUACUGGCUAGGAAAUCAUUAUAGCACAUCAUUACCAAAUACCAAAAUCGUCACCCUAUACCUGUAUUUGACCUUAUGAUUUAAAUGACAUCAUAACAAGCAUUAUAUUAUUUGACUCUUACAAUAGACCUAUUUUUGUUUUUUGCUAAGAAAAAAACAAAAACAAAAACAAAUUCAACAAAUGAGGAAAUAAAAGCACAGCCAACUAAAUGACUUGUCCAUUGUUAACUUAAAUUUUUCCCAGGGAUGUCUCUGUAAUUCCAUUGUUAUGCGAUCUUCCUUAGUAAGUAAUGAAAUUGAAACCUGAUCAACUGAUCAGACCAUGUCCAAAUAAGGCAGAUGCCUAGCUAUAACCAACCAAGCUAUUUCUGUACUUCACUUUCCUGUUUUGUCUAUACUCAUUGCCCAUAUUGCAGAAUGGAGCUCUCUCAACUUCUGGUUCUGAGUGCUGCCUGAUUCAUGAAUUUUCUUUGUUCAAAUAAACUCUAUAACAUUA